AGCUCCAAUAGCGUAUAUUAAAGUUGUUGCAGUUAAAAAGCUCGUAGUUGGAUUUGUGGCGUACGGUGUGUUCCGGGCACUUGUUGUCUGAGUAACCUGCUGUUGCCAUCCUUGGGUGGAACCUGUGUGGCAUUAGGUUGUCGUGCAGGGGAUGCCCAUCAUUUACUGUGAAAAAAUUAGAGUGUUCAAAGCAGGCUUAUGCCGUUGAAUAUAUUAGCAUGGAAUAAUGAGAUAGGACUUUUUUGCUAUUUUGUUGGUUUGCGCAAAGAGGUAAUGAUUAAUAGGGACAGUUGGGGGUAUUCGUAUUCCAUUGUCAGAGGUGAAAUUCUUGGAUUUUUGGAAGACGAACUACUGCGAAAGCAUUUACCAAGGAUGUUUUCA
This 381-nucleotide ribosomal RNA is filed under the name uncultured eukaryote. Its description in RNAcentral is "SSU rRNA". It matches the Rfam family "Eukaryotic small subunit ribosomal RNA", at positions 587 to 972 of the family's 1831-position model. The record is from RNAcentral.